AGGCUGGCAAGGUGGAGGGGGUGGAGUUUGUACUUGGCCACAGGUGGCUUUGGAUUUGAGGUCCCAAGAGCUUGCUGACCCCUCAGAGGGAUCAGGUUACAUUUGUGUGGAAGAUAAAAGUGAAAUUCCUGGACUGGAGAACAAAAUACUCCCUCACAAAAAAGAAGACCAUUAAAAUUUACUUCUGCUGCAAUGUAAUAAAGGGGACGAUAACCCUCAACAUCAGGAAAUGACUCCAUGCUUUCCCUUUCAUAUUUGAAACCAGAGGUCCUUACAGCUGCUGCCUUCCUCAUCUCAAGCAUUAAUUUUCUAUUACAAAUAAAAUUAAUGAGUUUAGCCAA
Molecule: long non-coding RNA, 341 nt
Organism: Herpailurus yagouaroundi (jaguarundi)
Lineage: Eukaryota; Metazoa; Chordata; Mammalia; Carnivora; Felidae
Exons: 2
Source: RefSeq, a predicted model, not a curated record